AAUAUUUUGACCAAUAUUUCAAAGUCAAAGCACAAUUACACAUACCAAACCUCCUUUUACUCCUCACUCUCUCACUCCUUCUCUGUCUUCUCUCUACUCUCAAACCCUUCUUCCUCUCCAAAACCGCCAACAGCCCACCGCACCACCAUCACCCUCGUCCUUCUCCAUCACCAGUUACCACCGUCCUCCUCAUCUCAUGAUCCAUGAUGAUACUAUAUUCUACACACGGCUCCAGUAAUAUAAUAAGCACACAUCAAGGCAGCAACACCAAACAAAAUCUGAUUUUUGUUGAUGGAAAUGUGGACUUUGGGUUUGCAGGUAUGUUUAUUUCACUAUCAGGAUUCUUUAGAAUUCUAUGUCUACCCUCACUUCUUUUAAAUGAUUAAAUGAUUUUGCUGACGAUACUGUUUUCUUCUUGAAUGUGAAGUCAAUGCUUGAACAAAGUUGAAAUAUGGAGGAAAUGAACGAACGAGCAAAAUGGCAAAUUUGAUUUUUUUAUAGAACGAGCUAUAUCAUUGUUGCAUAGUUGAAUUUAAUGAUAUUUUUGCCACUUACUUUAAGCAUUUCUGAUCUUACAGGAUCAUUUCACAAAAGUGAAGGAGCUGGCCAUAACUUUCAAAUAUAUAGAUCCAACCUACAUCAUCCGAGUUGUUCCAAGUAAUGCUUCUGGCGGUGUGUACUACACACUUCUUACUGUAAGUGUUGUUCAUGGAGCAAUGGCUGGUUACAUCGGACACCAACUAUACAAGUCGUCGUGUCAACAGAAGACAAACUUAUAUACCUUAUAUGACCAAACGAGGAGGGCAGCUGGGAUCUUUUGUCAGUAAUUAGGGACGAAUUUGGUUCUGUUAUGGUAACCUGCAGUUGUCAAUAAUAGCUGCAAAAUGACGCAGAUCUGGUGGACGCGAUGGCCUACAAAAUCGUUUUACAAUUUUACCUAAAAUUAUUUUACUUGAUCGUUGAAUCAGAACCGAUGAACACAGCCAAUGUCAUCUUGGAUCAGCAGCUCUCACACUCUUAUAUGGGAUCUAUUGUUGAGUGAUGUAUCAAUUUUUACUCUUACUCUCAUCUAUAGACAAGGACCAUUUGUUUUAUUUUGUUGUGGAUUCUGAGAUGAUAUUUUGACUUUCACAUAGGCUUUACAUGUGUCUAAAUGUGUUUCAGAACAUUCAUCGUAAUCAUCUUCAGGAAAACACAGAGAGGUUCCUGAAGGACAUUACACACAACAGAACCACACUCGAUGCUUCUACACGGUUAUUGGAAUUGAAAGUUAUAUAAAACAAAGCUUCAUUUUGUGUCAUUACUUUACGACGUUCACUGAAUUGAAGACUGACUUAAUAGAGAGUUUAUUCAAUCUGUAAGAAAUGUGACUGAUACGACGCGAUUAAGCAAAAGAAAUCCAAUUUGUUCAGCUACAACAUAUUCUUGAAAUCCAACAUGUCAACGCAGACGUCAUGUUUGUCUUUCAGGUCAAAUCUUGAUCUCCCUCAUCUCUUCAAUUCUGUUCUCAUUUUAUCGCAAAUUCACACUGUUUUGUCUGGAGAUCAGUGACUCCUUUUUGUUUAGGAUCCACUGGUGUUUGAUGUACUUAAUGAACAUUGAUGGUAGAAUUUGGUUACUUUUAUGUUUCAUGACUGUGUUGUUUAGGGUUCAUCAGUGACUCACUCAUUCCUAUCUGAGGUUUGUUGUUCUAUUUGCAAGACAAUGAAUAUACCUGACUGUUGAAAGGGCAGGUAAUUAGUAAAUGCAUAUGUGGUUGCUGAGAAUUAGCUCUUUUAUUGAUGCUAAUGUUUUCGUUUCCUGCAACUUAAGAUAUGAGCUUUAUUUCUCUGUUGUAUUUGUUUCAUCACUGUGUUGUUUUUUUGCUGUCCGAUCCUAAACUAUUUGAUUUUGUUGAUGGCAUAGAUUUUUUUGAAUGUCAUCAGCAUAAUAUCAUGCCAGCCAAGUAUCCAAGUAUUUUGCAUAAUGAAAGAAUUAACUGUAUAUAUGUAGCUUAUGUUGUUAUUCAGCUUGCUUGACAGAUUAGUCAUUAUGAAGUACAUCUAUUCCAGACAGGUUUUAUUGUCCCUUUUUCUUCCGAGUGGAUGACACAAUCACGUAUGUAAUGGUGGUUUUCUCUCAUAAUAGGUCCUUAUUAUCACAAGAGAUUAUUCCAGUUAAACAGAAUAAGAAGUACAUGUAACUUCAAUGUAAAGGACUAACUUCCAUGAUUCGAAAUGUGUUCCGUUUGGUUUUAUGUUGUCGGCAUCAUUAUAGCAGAAGUUUGAAUGCUGCUAUAAGUUUUGCUAUUCGAAGUUGUCGAAAAUGUGCUGUAAAAAAUAAUUUGGCGAGAUUAAUGUCAUUUACCAUUAACAUGUUGGUUUCGACCUCUUUUGCUA
Molecule: RNA transcript, 2378 nt
Organism: Medicago truncatula (barrel medic)
Lineage: Eukaryota; Viridiplantae; Streptophyta; Magnoliopsida; Fabales; Fabaceae
Gene name: ATP-dependent 6-phosphofructokinase 4, chloroplastic
Exons: 5
Source: RefSeq, a predicted model, not a curated record